CGGGGUGUAGCGCAGCCCGGUAGCGCACCUGCUUUGGGAGCAGGGGGUCGCUGGUUCAAAUCCAGUCACCCCGA
RNAcentral lists this transfer RNA (74 nucleotides) under Bacteroidota bacterium. Its description in RNAcentral is "Bacteroidetes bacterium (marine metagenome) tRNA-Pro". It matches the Rfam family "tRNA". From Rfam's summary of the family: Transfer RNA (tRNA) molecules are approximately 80 nucleotides in length. Their secondary structure includes four short double-helical elements and three loops (D, anti-codon, and T loops). Further hydrogen bonds mediate the characteristic L-shaped molecular structure. tRNAs have two regions of fundamental functional importance: the anti-codon, which is responsible for specific mRNA codon recognition, and the 3' end, to which the tRNAs corresponding amino acid is attached (by aminoacyl-tRNA synthetases). tRNAs cope with the degeneracy of the genetic code in two manners: having more than one tRNA (with a specific anti-codon) for a particular amino acid; and 'wobble' base-pairing, i.e. permitting non-standard base-pairing at the 3rd anti-codon position. Lineage: Bacteria; Pseudomonadati; Bacteroidota. The record is from RNAcentral. RNAcentral also lists the same sequence under 1 other name.